RNAcentral lists this ribosomal RNA (868 nucleotides) under uncultured archaeon. RNAcentral's name for it is "bacterial SSU rRNA". It matches the Rfam family "Archaeal small subunit ribosomal RNA", at positions 125 to 995 of the family's 1478-position model. The record is from RNAcentral.
CAUAACCUCGGGAAACUGGGUAUAAUACCCGAUAGGUCUCGAUUGCUGGAAUGCAUCGAGAUUUAAAGCUCCGGCGCCUAAGGAUGGGUCUGCGGCCUAUCAGGUAGUAGUGGGUGUAGCGUACCUACUAGCCUACGACGGGUACGGGUUGUGAGAGCAAGAGCCCGGAGAUGGAUUCUGAGACACGAAUCCAGGCCCUACGGGGUGCAGCAGGCGCGAAAACUUUACAAUGCUGGCAACAGCGAUAAGGGAACCUCGAGUGCCAGGUUACAAAUCUGGCUGUCGAGAUGCCUAAAAAGCAUUUCAUAGCAAGGGCCGGGCAAGACCGGUGCCAGCCGCCGCGGUAACACCGGCGGCUCGAGUGGUAACCGUUAUUAUUGGGUCUAAAGGGUCUGUAGCCGGCCGGAUAAGUCUCUUGAGAAAUCUGGCAGCUUAACUGUCAGGCUUUCAGGAGAUACUGUCUGGCUCGAGGCCGGGAGAGGUGAGAGGUACUUCAGGGGUAGGGGUGAAAUCUUGUAAUCCUUGAAGGACCACCAGUGGCGAAGGCGUCUCACCAGAACGGACCUGACGGCAAGGGACGAAAGCUAGGGGCACGAACCGGAUUAGAUACCCGGGUAGUCCUAGCCGUAAACGAUACUCGCUAGGUGUCGGCCACGGUGCGACCGUUGUCGGUGCCGUAGGGAAGCCGUGAAGCGAGCCACCUGGGAAGUACGGCCGCAAGGCUGAAACUUAAAGGAAUUGGCGGGGGAGCACCACAACGGGUGGAGCUUGCGGUUUAAUUGGAUUCAACGCCGGAAAUCUUACCGGGACCGACAGCAAUAUGAACGCCAGCUGAAGACUUUGCCGGAUUAGCUGAGAGGUGGUGCAU